AAAGUGGCAUAGGAAAAUGCCAAGAUCCCUCACCUUCCCUACAAUGAAUGAUGUCAUGAACAAUGGCAUACAGAGAAAAUUACUUUGCCUAUCUACCUUUCAUGUGGUCAAGCAGGUGUAGCUUAGAAUCUAGCUGUAUACCACAAUUAGUAUAGCAGUCCAUCUAUUCUACACACCUGCCAUUUUGUCAAGUCUCUUAUAUGUUGUCAAAGUACUAAAAGGAGCUCUUUGAGCACUUCAAAGCCGUAGUGAAGAGAAUGAAUCAUCGUGGAAGUGGGCAUUAUGAACAAUUAAAAUCACAGCUUGAAAAGCAAGAAGAAGAAAUAGCAAUAUAUAAGCUUCAAAUUAAGGAGCAACAAGCAGAUAAGGAGCAAUUACAAAAAAAUUAUGAUACUGACAUGAAGAGGCUUCUGGCAGUAACCAAGAAACAAGAUGAUAUUGAAUCUAAUUUAAGAAGAGAAUUGAAAGAGUUGCAACAUGCUAUUGAAACUCAAAAAAGAGUGGAACUAGAUCAACUAACCCAUCUAAACAAUAAA
Molecule: long non-coding RNA, 536 nt
Organism: Amphimedon queenslandica
Lineage: Eukaryota; Metazoa; Porifera; Demospongiae; Haplosclerida; Niphatidae
Exons: 5
Source: RefSeq, a predicted model, not a curated record